Molecule: non-coding RNA, 136 nt
Organism: Triticum aestivum (bread wheat)
Lineage: Eukaryota; Viridiplantae; Streptophyta; Magnoliopsida; Poales; Poaceae
Source: Rfam
CAUGUACUCCCUCCGUCCGAAAAUACCUGUCAUCAAAACGGAUAAAAGGGGACGUAGCUAGAUGUAUUUUAGUUCUAGAUACAUCUUUUUUUUAUUCAUUUUGAUGACAAGUAUUUUUGGACAGAGGGAGUAUCAG